UGCCGGUGGCGGGCGGCCGCCGCAGUUGCGGAGGGGAAGCCGGCCGGGAUGCGGGCUGGCCCCUGUUUCUCUGGUGGCUGGGCGCCGCGCCGGCUGCCGCUGCCCGGCCGGGUCUCGCCUGUCCGGCUGGUCGGCGGAAAGGCUGAGAAAUCGCACGGAAACCGCCGUCCCGAGCGUGAGGCGGUUCCCGGCUGAGGGGCGCGGAGUGCUCCCGGGCCUCAGGGGCAGGGGUAGAAACGAGACCUGCAGCUGAGUCUUUGGCCCGUCGCUGUUCAAGAUUCCUGAGGUACCUGUACAAAGCAAGAUUGACCACUUUAACUUGUUUGGCUGCUACCAGUUAUUUCACCUUUUAUCAACUACAAGGAGCACGGACCUAACAAUGAAGAAUGAUGCAAAUCUAAUGAUCCUAUUGAUUGAACUAGGGGUUCAUUCUUUGAGAGAAAUUGAAGGUACCUGCUGAAAAAGAAACUUACUUAGGAAUCAGGAACCUGUGAUCCUGCACUACAAGAGAACAGUGAAUGUACGGAGCUGUCAAGACAAGCACUAUUUCCCCUUUGGAGCAAAUGAGGAAUCGAUACUGCCUGAACUCAUUAUCUGCUAGUGCAUCUUCAUUGCCUGUAUAAAUUGUUAUUCCUAAUAAGUGACUAACUCAUCACCAUUUAUCUAAAAUCAUGUGAUCAUUUCAAGAUUUUGCUUUGUUUCAUACAAUUCUCGAGACAAUUGUGUAGUUACAGGAAGGUAUAAUCUCUGUGAUACCAUCAUGGCUACAUUAAAAUGUGUGACGAGAACUUUGGCUUAUAUGUAUUAGAAAUGCUCUUUCCACUUAGGCUUUUAAGGUGUGUGAAACAGAUUUUCAUUUUCAUCCAAUGCUCAGUGCACAUGAAGUGUCAUCUUCCUUAUGGGGAAAAAGUCCAGUCACAUAACUGCAUAAACCUGAACCAUUUAAACCAUCUUUAAUGCUAUCUUUUAAAAUACAUUUUUAAUGUAGACUUUUAAGUCUUCCAAGCUUAGAAGGUGACUCCCAGUUCUGGUGCCCCAAACUGACAUCUAGCUCACAGCACUGAGUUGGUUAGGGUCCUCACCCUUCACCUGCCCCUGUGCUAGGACAACAGCUCUGCCCCCACUAUUUCCCAUCACCUGAAACAAUUGCCUUAAUCCUUUAAUAUUCACCCUCUGUUUUUUCUCACUUCUACAAACCCUGGUUCUGUUCAUUUGUUCAAAUUUGUUUGCAAUAACAGUCCUUCCAGUGUAAAAAAUAAUUAAAGAUGGAGGUCCAGAUACAGUAACCAAGGUCAGCCACAGCCCCAUGAUGACUGAGCAGGUCUCUGGAGAUAUGGGUGGGCCAAGGCCAGGCUGGCAUGCCAGCUGGUGGGUCAGAGGCAUCCCCACUGCCUGUCUGGAAAAGCUUUAUUCAUGGUCACCAGCAGCAUUGGCCCUGAGCCUGGGCAGCCAGACUCUCAGGGUAAGGGGUACACUCAGAGCCCUGCUACUUUGAGAUGAGUUUGGUUUUUUUAGAGGAGAAGUUUCGGAAAAUUCAGCUUGUCUGUAUGUAAAGGAAGAGUUUAUUUUGAGGGCUCGAGUGUUUUUUUUUGCUGGGAGGUUAGAUACAUACCUGCUGUCUUUGGUCUCAGAGGUUGGAACAUGCCUAGACAAAGGAUGGGACUGAAAAUUGACAAAAUGGAAACUGAGUGUCUUGCUGGUUUUUAAACCACUGUACUUUUGUUUCUUGUCAAUGAUAAGUUUAACUUCUUCAGUCAAUUCUACAAAGGGCACUUGUCAUACAGGUUUCUCUGCGCUGUGGGGAAAUGUCCUCAAAGAUACCCAUCACAAAUAGGAAGUGCACUGUGCAUAACCAGAUGCUUAUGCAGUGGUCACACUCCAAAUACACAGUGCCUCUGAUUCAUGAGGUAUUGUAGGAAAUAUCUCAACUCUGUCUUUUAUUUAGUACAUUUGCCUAAGCUUACUAUGCCCGAUUAUAUCAGGAUGGGCAGUAUUUUUAACAUUCUUCCUUCAAAAUCUUAAUUCCUGGACAAGAGCUCUUGGAGCAAAUAACUCUUCCCUCAUCCUUUCUGCCUCUUCUUUAAUAAAUACAUUUUCUAUUGUGGUUGAUAUGCCAUUUCAAUUUAAAAAGGUCAAUUUAACACAGACAAGUUUCAUCAAAGAUCAAAUUAGUUUAUUGAUUAGGACUAUGAAGAGCAUAACAAAUCAGUGAUGUAGAGAGUACAUAGCCUAAUUCUGCAUGGUUAGAGAUAAUAUUUUUUUCCUCCAGUUAAGUAUGGCAAGCAUUCAGCUUUCAUUAGCUGAAGUAAUAAAAGUAUAUAAUGUCCCAGAGCAUGCAAAAACUUAGACUGUUGAAUGUAAUGCUUGCGCUCCAGGUGCAAACUAAGACUGAGUUUAUCAGGGUUCAUCAGUUCUGGCAAGGCAGGACUGGGGAGUUUUACAGUCUCUUCCAUUUGGUUCCAGUAGGUUUAUUGACUGGGUGUAAAACCAGCUCUGGUCUGCUUUGCAGCUGAAAUGAUGUAUUGUCUUAGAAAGGAGGCUCUGUAAGUGGUCCUCUGUGUAUCACAUAGCCAGGUUCAUACUGUGCUGUGCCUGACCUAGUAAAUUCUGCUGGGAUUCUUCAGGACCAGCAGUAGGUUGGCUUCACUCAUGUCUGUGGACUAGUAAAUUGCAACCCAUCUAUGUUGUGACACAAAUGAAGUUAUUCGGUAUUCCAGGUCAUGGUGUGCAUUUAGCACUCACUCACACUCUUCUCUGCUGUCUUAGACUGCCUAUCUCAAAGUUCCUUGUUGCUUAACUCUAUGAUUCUUACGUAUACUGGCUCAUGUAUUAUUCAGUGCUUUUACUUGACCUAAGUGCAAUAAAAGAGCAAUAAGAGUCAGCAGCAGUCAAAAUUCAGUCUUUUAGGGCAAAGUCUCAUUCCUGCUAAAUUUUUUUGCCUCCUUAUUCUGCUUUCUACUAGAUUAGUGACAUUUCUUCCUCACUAUUUGUUUAUAAUUUAAAGCCCUAUAAAGUUACUUGAUCUGCAUCAGUUUAUCUCCAGACUAAGAGUAUAAAAGCAUGAGGCACAUAGGUUACCUUUUACUUAUGGCCAUGUACCGUGAGUGCGGAAAACACACAAAUCAUGGUCUGAUAUUAAAAUCCUUGCUCAGCAAUUUUUUAAACAGUUCACUAGAACAGAUAUAACAAAGCUGUACCUGAGCAUAAGUGCAUGGGGUUAUGGAAAUGUUGUUUACAAUUUAUUACAAAGACUUUAUGAUAAUGAAAGUAAAAUAGAGAUAAAAUGCUAUGUAAUACCUCAGUUUCCAUUACUUAUAAAUGGUCUCAUUCAGAACCUGGGGAAGAUCAGGUACAUAAGUUUUUUGAACUCUUUAUGAAUGAAGGUACAAUGACUAGAACAGAGAGGACCAACCCUUAGUGAAGUUUUUUAGGAUUUAUCCUAAUAAAAUAGGAAGUUAUUUUGUUCCUAAUGAAUUGAUGUUACUAGUCAAAUGUUUAAACAGAAACAGGUUAGGUAUCAGCAAAACUGUACAGACAUCAUUUCACACUGUAUUACAAAGUGUACAAAAUAGAUAAACGUGAAAAAGAGAAUAUAUUGAAUUUUUUGUUUGGUUGGGUUUUUUUGUUUGGUUGGUUUUUUUCCCCAGUAUAUGGUAUGAAUAUGUUCAAAGCUUUUGACAAAAAUACAGUUUCCGAGUGUAAUACUUGAUAAAUUAUCUCAUACAUGGAAAUAAUUGUAUCUUACCUGUUUAAGUUUUAUUUCUGUCUAUUAUUAUUUAUACUUCUCCAGGAUAUCCGAUUGCUUGGUUUGACUAUUAUUUGCAUUUUCUACUCAUGAUAUCUCAAAUUAAUGCUUGGCAUCAAAUAUUCAUUUAUACUGUGAUUAUGCCACUAGCUGGCAAAUCAAUCUUUUACUGAAGAAAAUACUUUAGUAGAUGAUGAGAGGUUAGUUGAUAGGGGAUAAGACAACAAGGUAUCACACUGGCAAGCCUAAUUAUAGCAACCUGUAAAGGUGUUGGUAAAGUACAGUUCAAGUUUGCUGAUAUUAAGGUAGCAAAUAAUAAGAGGCUGCUCACAUCAAAGAGCCCUUGUCAAAAAAGACAUUUAAAUUUGCAUCGCUAAAGGAUCAUUAUAAGAACGGCACAUGAACAAUGGUUGCACUUCGUGUGAAAUUUCUAAUAAACGUGUGCCCUUUUUAUGUUCAGUAAACAGAAAAUGGAUAAUAUCAGGUUAAGUUUUAUCCCAUUUCUGUGGAUUUUAUUUGGUCUUUUAAAAGACCUAUUUAGAUGAAGUUGUAGCUCAAAAUAAAAGAUAUGAAAUUUUGUAUUGAUGUACUUCUAAAGGAUACUUACCAAAAUAAAUCACUUCGAGAUUGCAAAUGCCAUCUUAGAUCACUGUAACUUGUCUGUCCCUGAGGUCAUAAAAGCAGAACAGCAUGAAGGAGGAUAAACCCAUCCUUCUGAAAUUCCAAAGCUCUUGUGCAAUAGAAUUGAUGCUUUUUGCAUUUUUCAGGUUUUUCUAAAUUUCGGUGGAUGAAUUCCAGACCUCAUGCAAGCCAGUGGCCAGUCUGCAAUAGACUACAGAGGAAACCGAGAUUCACCAAUUUUUUUAAAUUAUUUUUUUUUCCAGAAAUUUCAAACAUUUUAUUUUUUAUCUUUCUGACAUUGUCCUUUCUCAUGCCUGUCUCUUCUAAAAUGACUUCUUCUAAUAAAGAUAUUCGUAACUAGUGA
This is a long non-coding RNA of Apus apus (common swift), 4730 nucleotides long. RefSeq lists it as uncharacterized. Lineage: Eukaryota; Metazoa; Chordata; Aves; Apodiformes; Apodidae. The record is from RefSeq and is a predicted model, not a curated record. The transcript is spliced from 4 exons.